This 433-nucleotide ribosomal RNA is filed under the name uncultured bacterium. RNAcentral describes it as "partial 16S ribosomal RNA". It matches the Rfam family "Bacterial small subunit ribosomal RNA", at positions 29 to 507 of the family's 1533-position model. The record is from RNAcentral.
AACGAACGCUGGCGGCAUGCCUAACACAUGCAAGUCGAACGAGACCUUCGGGUCUAGUGGCGCACGGGUGCGUAACGCGUGGGAACCUGCCCUUAGGUUCGGAAUAACUCCCCGAAAGGGGUGCUAAUACCGGAUAAUGUCUUCGGACCAAAGAUUUAUCGCCUUUGGCUGGGCCCGCGUUGGAUUAGCUUGUUGGUAGGGUAAAAGCCUACCAAGGCGACGAUCCAUGGCUGGUCUGAGCGGAUGCUCAGCCACACUGGGGCUAAGACACGGCCCAGACUCGUACGGAAGGCAGCAGUGGGGAAUAUUGGACAAUGGGCGAAAGCCUGACGCAGCAAUGCCGGGUGAGAGAUGAAGGCCUUAGGGUUGUAAAGCUCUUUUAGCCGGGAUGAUAAUGACAGUACCGGGAGAAUAAGCACCGGCUAACUACGUG